This 302-nucleotide unclassified non-coding RNA is filed under the name uncultured fungus. Its description in RNAcentral is "partial contains small subunit ribosomal RNA, internal transcribed spacer 1, and 5.8S ribosomal RNA". The stretch from base 1 to 73 matches the Rfam family "Eukaryotic small subunit ribosomal RNA", at positions 1759 to 1831 of the family's 1831-position model. Lineage: Eukaryota; Fungi. The record is from RNAcentral.
ACAAACUUGGUCAUUUAGAGGAAGUAAAAGUCGUAACAAGGUUUCCGUAGGUGAACCUGCGGAAGGAUCAUUACCGAGUGAGGGUCCUUGGGGCCCAACCUCCCACCCGUGUUUAUCUGUACCCUGUUGCUUCGGCGGGCCCGCCGCCCAGUCGGCCGCCGGGGGGCUCACGCCCCCGGGCCCGUGCCCGCCGGAGACACCUGAACCCUGUUCUGAAAGCUUGCAGUCUGAGUUGAUUCUUGUAAUCAGUUAAAACUUUCAACAAUGGAUCUCUUGGUUCCGGCAUCGAUGAAGAACGCAGC